GAGAAACGCUGGCGGCGCACAUAAGACAUGCAAGUCGAACGGAAUUUAGUCGAAUGUUUACAUGAGACGAAGAUUUAGUGGCGGACGGGUGAGUAACACGUGAGCAACCUACCUUAAGGCGGGGGAUAACAUUGAGAAAUCAGUGCUAAUACCGCAUAAUACUACUGAAGGACAUCCUUUAGUAGUCAAAGGAGUAAUCCACCAUAAGAUGGGCUCGCGGCUGAUUAGCCAGUUGGUGGGGUAACGGCCUACCAAAGCGAUGAUCAGUAGCCGAGCUGAGAGGCUCAACGGCCACAUUGGGACUGAGACACGGCCCAGACUCCUACGGGAGGCAGCAGUCGGGAAUAUUGCACAAUGGAGGAAACUCUGAUGCAGUGACGCCGCGUAUAGGAUGAAGGUCCUUGGAUUGUAAACUAUUGUCGACAGGGAAGAAAAAAAUGACAGUACCUGUGGAGGAAGCUCCGGCUAACUACGUGCCAGCAGCCGCGGUAAUACGUAGGGAGCGAGCGUUAUCCGGAUUUAUUGGGUGUAAAGGGCGCGUAGACGGAUCUGCAAGUUGGAUGUGAAAUCCCUAGGCUUAACUUAGGAACUGCAUCCAAAACUGUAGACCUUGAGUAUGGGAGAGGAAAGCGGAAUUCCUAGUGUAGCGGUGAAAUGCGUAGAUAUUAGGAGGAACACCAGUGGCGAAGGCGGCUUUCUGGACCAAAACUGACGUUGAGGCGCGAAAGUGUGGGGAGCAAACA
Molecule: ribosomal RNA, 743 nt
Filed under: uncultured bacterium
Lineage: Bacteria
Description: bacterial SSU rRNA
Rfam family: Bacterial small subunit ribosomal RNA
Source: RNAcentral